Kogia breviceps (pygmy sperm whale) is the source of this 995-nucleotide non-coding RNA. The record is from RefSeq and is a predicted model, not a curated record. Lineage: Eukaryota; Metazoa; Chordata; Mammalia; Artiodactyla; Physeteridae.
CCCUUCCCUCCGUGUAAAAGUGUUCUUCCCUUGCUGGGCAGGGGCUUGCAAGCGGCUCCCCGUGGCUGCAGGCGCUGUGUUGCAAUUCUCUGCCGAGACCGAAUAAACCCAUCUUUGCUGCAGAAAUAUCUGGGAGUCUGUUUGUUUCAGGUCAACAAGAGGUGAAGGAGCAGCACUUCAUAAGAACAGAAAUAGCAGGCUACAGGUGACAAGCCCUCACUCAGGCUCAGGUGCUGGGCAGGACCCUGAGGCUCAGAGAAGUUAACUUGUUCAAGGGGACACAGGUAUGAAGUAGCGAAGCCUGAAUCUACACCCAACUCAACUCCAAAGCCUGCAUUCCUAACCACUGCAUCCUUUUGGAAAAUGCCAAGUUCAUACUCCAGGUAUUUACCCUGUGACUGUAUGUACACUAAAGCCAGCACAAUGGAUUGUUUUCAGACAAGAUGUUUUCUGCUAAACUCCCAGAGGAAAAAAAAACAAAAACAAAAAAAACCCUUCAACUGUAGUUGCUUGAGGUCCUAGGAGACAGCGUCCUCUAGAGAGCAAUGUCUAUACAAUCACUUUGGCAAGAAUAACAACAAAAUCUCCAGACAGGUUUCCCAGUCUGCAAACUAGCAAUGACUAGGGCACUAAAUGCCUGGGCCCUACUCCAGACAAAUUCACUCCCAAUCUCCUCAAGUAGGACCGAGGCAUCUGUAGUUGUUAAAGGUACUGGGUGGGUUAAGAACGAGCCCUCUGGGACUUGAACCACAGCUGGUACAGAGUCAAAUUUUCUUCACUGGCUGAGUGCCCAGGGUCCAAAGCCAUCUCAAAAAUGCAGGUGGUACCCAUGUAAACUUUAAUGUAUGUUCUUUAUCUAGAGGUAGAGAAUCCCAAGGCAAUAACUAGAAAUGUUAUCAGAGUUCUGUAAAACCCCAGUCCUUCCUUGGUGUCUACUGGGGAAGGCACCAGACAUGAUCUUCAGCCAAGCAGACUGCCUACUGGGUCAGGGCAGC